This 515-nucleotide ribosomal RNA is filed under the name uncultured bacterium. RNAcentral's name for it is "bacterial SSU rRNA". It matches the Rfam family "Bacterial small subunit ribosomal RNA", at positions 16 to 518 of the family's 1533-position model. The record is from RNAcentral.
AUCCUGGCUUAGGAUGAACGCUAGCUACAGGCUUAACACAUGCAAGUCGAGGGGCAUCGGGAUCUGUGCUUGCACAGAUGCCGGCGACCGGCGCACGGGUGAGUAACGCGUAUCCAACCUUCCCCUUAGUAGGGCAUAGCCCGGCGAAAGUCGGAUUAAUACCCUAUGUUUUUCCAAUGAGGACAUCUGAGCUGGAACAAAGAUUCAUCGCUAAGGGAUGGGGGAUGCGUCCGAUUAGCUUGCCGGCGGGGUAACGGCCCACCGGGGCGACGAUCGGUAGGGGUUCUGAGAGGAAGGUCCCCCACACUGGUACUGAGACACGGACCAGACUCCUACGGGAGGCAGCAGUGAGGAAUAUUGGUCAAUGGGCGUGAGCCUGAACCAGCCAAGUAGCGUGCCAGGAUGACGGCCCUAUGGGUUGUAAACUGCUUUUAUGCGGGGAUAAAGUGCGUCACGUGUGGCGUUUUGCAGGUACCGCAUGAAUAAGGACCGGCUAAUUCCGUGCCAGCCGCGGC